This 672-nucleotide long non-coding RNA is filed under the name Homo sapiens (human). RNAcentral describes it as "HSALNT0350860". Lineage: Eukaryota; Metazoa; Chordata; Mammalia; Primates; Hominidae. The record is from RNAcentral.
AGUCUGAUGGAUCUGGGUGACUGGGCAAGUUCUUUAGCUUGUCAAACCUUCAUUUCUCUAAUUUAUAACAUAAGGACAGUACCUUCUUCCUGUCAAGGUUGAGGCAAGCAUUAGUGAGAAACGUCUCAAGGCCUGGUUCACAUUAAAGGUCAAAAAAGAGAGAAAACAUCACUGUUCUCUUCAGCAGAACUUUUGUCAGUGUGAUCGAGAAUUGUCUCAAGUGACAAGUGAGCUGACCAGGGAACCCUGGGUGGCAGGUACUAUUGGCACCAUUUUCCAGAUAAAGAAAAUGAAGUUCUAAGCAGUCAAAUGACAUGUCAAGAUCACCCAACUGUAAAGGAUGACAGAGGGCACAGAAGCCACCAGCAGAUUCUUUGGAAGGAAGUAACAGGAGUGGAACUUCAUUUUCCCAUGGAUUGUAAAGGGCUGGGCUCCCUUCCACCUCUUCUCACUGGCCUCCUGUUUGUACCCCUGACCUCUCCGGGAUCUGGAUCCCAACACUGUCUUCUGCAAUGAAAACCCUGAUUUUCUAUAUCUGGACAAAAGACUAGGACAUAACGAGAAUUUUAGCGGAAGGAACUGAGGGAGAGAGAUUGCACAGCAGACAAGGACAAAUAAAGGGAAGGUGGAAACAAGGUCUUGCUAUGUCACCCAGGCUGGAGUGCAGUUGCG